CAGUCGCGUUCUCUGGGAUUCAGCCUUGCUUCUUGCUUGGUGCAUUUCCUAGUCUACGGGCCAGCAUGAAUCUUGAGCGGUGGAAAUGAUUGGAGGAAUGUAGCUUUGGUCUCGUAUCGAAGUGUUAUAGACUCUGGUAGAUGUGACGAUUGGGAUU
Molecule: ribosomal RNA, 157 nt
Filed under: Rhizophagus fasciculatus
Lineage: Eukaryota; Fungi; Glomeromycota; Glomeromycetes; Glomerales; Glomeraceae
Source: RNAcentral